UCGUGAUUAGCUCAGUUAGUAGAGCGCUCCACUGGAAAUGGACAGGUCCGGGGUUCGAUACCCGGACCAGGCG
RNAcentral lists this transfer RNA (73 nucleotides) under Ixodes scapularis (black-legged tick). It matches the Rfam family "tRNA". Rfam says of the family: Transfer RNA (tRNA) molecules are approximately 80 nucleotides in length. Lineage: Eukaryota; Metazoa; Arthropoda; Arachnida; Ixodida; Ixodidae. The record is from Rfam by way of RNAcentral.